Long non-coding RNA from Brassica napus (rape), 524 nucleotides. RefSeq lists it as uncharacterized. Lineage: Eukaryota; Viridiplantae; Streptophyta; Magnoliopsida; Brassicales; Brassicaceae. The transcript has 2 exons. The record is from RefSeq and is a predicted model, not a curated record.
UAUAUAUAUAGUUACGAUUUUAAUAAUGAAAUAAUAAUCCGAAAAUGUAUAUAUAGAAGAAGAUACAAAUACAUGUGAAAGUUUGAAACAAUCUAUUCGAUGAAAAAAUACACCGUAAACUUAUUAUGUUUUAAAAAUUGAUAGACACAUAUAUAUAUUAUAAUAUAUACCAAUUUAGAAUUGAAAACAAAAUGUUUAUAUAAAAAUAAAUGAAAACAAAAACACGCACAGUUACGCAGGUCGAGAUCUAGUUGUAGUUUUAAUCCUGCUGUAUAUAAAUUAUUUCAAACUAAAACAAACUCAAACAUAAAUUAGUAGUCCUAAUCUGGAAAAAGCUUCACGGUAGUAGUCUUUUUUUUCUUUUUGGUCAAACAAGCAUUGCAUUACUAAAUCGGAAGCUACACUCCCGAAACAGAGUUCAUUACAGACAUGGAAAGAGCUGACUUUGCCACAAGAAAAGAAAAAAAAACAAGACAAAGAAGCAGGGGAAAAGAAGAUAACACAACAACUGCAAACAGCAAAAG